UACAUGGGGUGCAAACGUUGCUCGGAAUUAUUGGGCGUAAAGCGCACGUAGGCGGUUCGUUAAGUCGGAUGUGAAAGCCCUCGGCUCAACUGAGGAAGUGCACCCGAAACUGGCGAUCUUGAGUCCGGAAGAGGUGAGUGGAACUCCUAGUGUAGAGGUGGAAUUCGUAGAUAUUAGGAAGAACACCAGUGGCGAAGGCGGCUCACUGGUCCGGUACUGACGCUGAGGUGCGAAAGCGUGGGGAGCAAACAGG
This 253-nucleotide ribosomal RNA is filed under the name uncultured bacterium. RNAcentral describes it as "partial 16S ribosomal RNA". It matches the Rfam family "Bacterial small subunit ribosomal RNA", at positions 524 to 776 of the family's 1533-position model. The record is from RNAcentral.